This 78-nucleotide transfer RNA is filed under the name Candidatus Aenigmatarchaeota archaeon. RNAcentral describes it as "tRNA-Met". It matches the Rfam family "tRNA". Rfam says of the family: Transfer RNA (tRNA) molecules are approximately 80 nucleotides in length. Their secondary structure includes four short double-helical elements and three loops (D, anti-codon, and T loops). Lineage: Archaea; Nanobdellati; Candidatus Aenigmatarchaeota. The record is from RNAcentral.
AGCGAGGUGGGGCAGCCAGGAGUGCCCGUCGGGCUCAUAACCCGAAGGUCGCACGUUCAAAUCGUGCCCUCGCUACCA